This 434-nucleotide ribosomal RNA is filed under the name Bacillus amyloliquefaciens. Its description in RNAcentral is "bacterial SSU rRNA". It matches the Rfam family "Bacterial small subunit ribosomal RNA", at positions 104 to 525 of the family's 1533-position model. The record is from RNAcentral. Lineage: Bacteria; Bacillati; Bacillota; Bacilli; Caryophanales; Bacillaceae.
GGGUGAGUAACACGUGGGUAACCUGCCUGUAAGACUGGGAUAACUCCGGGAAACCGGGGCUAAUACCGGAUGGUUGUUUGAACCGCAUGGUUCAGACAUAAAAGGUGGCUUCGGCUACCACUUACAGAUGGACCCGCGGCGCAUUAGCUAGUUGGUGAGGUAACGGCUCACCAAGGCGACGAUGCGUAGCCGACCUGAGAGGGUGAUCGGCCACACUGGGACUGAGACACGGCCCAGACUCCUACGGGAGGCAGCAGUAGGGAAUCUUCCGCAAUGGACGAAAGUCUGACGGAGCAACGCCGCGUGAGUGAUGAAGGUUUUCGGAUCGUAAAGCUCUGUUGUUAGGGAAGAACAAGUGCCGUCAAAUAGGGCGGCACCUUGACGGUACCUAACCAGAAAGCCACGGCUAACUACGUGCCAGCAGCCGGUUAAUA